AAUCAACGCUGGCGGCGUGCCUAACACAUGCAAGUCGAACGCGGCUAUCCCGCAAGGGAUAGCUGAGUGGCGAACGGGUGAGUAACACGUGGGUGACCUACCUUCGAAUGGGGGAUAACGUCCCGAAAGGGACGCUAAUACCGCAUAACAUCCCGCCUUUGAACAGGCGGACAUCAAAGCUGGGGAUCGCAAGACCUGGCGUUUGAAGAGGGGCCCGCGUCUGAUUAGCUAGUUGGUGGGGUAACGGCUCACCAAGGCGACGAUCAGUAUCCGGCCUGAGAGGGCGGACGGACACACUGGGACUGAGACACGGCCCAG
This 318-nucleotide ribosomal RNA is filed under the name uncultured bacterium. Its description in RNAcentral is "bacterial SSU rRNA". It matches the Rfam family "Bacterial small subunit ribosomal RNA", at positions 32 to 334 of the family's 1533-position model. The record is from RNAcentral.